CCCUUAGAUGUUCUGGGCCGCACGCGCGCUACACUGACGAAUGCAACGAGCUUAUAACCUUGGCCGAAAGGUCUGGGUAAUCUCCAAAUUUCGUCGUGAUGGGGAUAGAUUAUUGCAAUUAUUAAUCUUCAACGAGGAAUGCCUAGCAAGCGCAAGUCAUCAGCUUGCGUUGAUUACGUCCCUGCCCUUUGUACACACCGCCCGUCGCUCCUACCGAUUGAAUGGUCCGGUGAAGCGUUCGGACCGUGGCCUUUGGACGGUUCGCCGUCUGUUGGCUGCGGGAAGUUCGUUAAACCUUAUCAUUUAGAGGAAGGAGAAGUCGUAACA
This 327-nucleotide ribosomal RNA is filed under the name uncultured eukaryote. Its description in RNAcentral is "partial 18S ribosomal RNA". It matches the Rfam family "Eukaryotic small subunit ribosomal RNA", at positions 1470 to 1796 of the family's 1831-position model. The record is from RNAcentral.